Molecule: transfer RNA, 69 nt
Filed under: Ictidomys tridecemlineatus (thirteen-lined ground squirrel)
Lineage: Eukaryota; Metazoa; Chordata; Mammalia; Rodentia; Sciuridae
Description: Spermophilus tridecemlineatus (thirteen-lined ground squirrel) tRNA
Rfam family: tRNA
About the family: Transfer RNA (tRNA) molecules are approximately 80 nucleotides in length.
Source: Rfam by way of RNAcentral
GGGGAUGUAGCUCAGAAGUAGAGCAUGCACUUACCAUGUAUAAGCCCUGGGUUCAAUCCCUGAUACCCA